This 819-nucleotide ribosomal RNA is filed under the name uncultured Pseudomonadota bacterium. Its description in RNAcentral is "bacterial SSU rRNA". It matches the Rfam family "Bacterial small subunit ribosomal RNA", at positions 8 to 824 of the family's 1533-position model. Lineage: Bacteria; Pseudomonadati; Pseudomonadota. The record is from RNAcentral.
AGAGUUUGAUCCUGGCUCAGAUUGAACGCUGGCGGCAUGCCUUACACAUGCAAGUCGAACGGUAACAGGUCUUCGGAUGCUGACGAGUGGCGAACGGGUGAGUAAUACAUCGGAACGUGCCCGAUCGUGGGGGAUAACGAAGCGAAAGCUUUGCUAAUACCGCAUAAGAUCUACGGAUGAAAGCAGGGGACCGCAAGGCCUUGCGCGAACGGAGCGGCCGAUGGCAGAUUAGGUAGUUGGUGGGAUAAAAGCUUACCAAGCCGACGAUCUGUAGCUGGUCUGAGAGGACGACCAGCCACACUGGGACUGAGACACGGCCCAGACUCCUACGGGAGGCAGCAGUGGGGAAUUUUGGACAAUGGGCGAAAGCCUGAUCCAGCCAUGCCGCGUGCAGGAUGAAGGCCUUCGGGUUGUAAACUGCUUUUGUACGGAACGAAAAGACUCUGGUUAAUACCUGGGGUCCAUGACGGUACCGUAAGAAUAAGCACCGGCUAACUACGUGCCAGCAGCCGCGGUAAUACGUAGGGUGCAAGCGUUAAUCGGAAUUACUGGGCGUAAAGCGUGCGCAGGCGGUUAUAUAAGACAGAUGUGAAAUCCCCGGGCUCAACCUGGGAACUGCAUUUGUGACUGUAUAGCUAGAGUACGGCAGAGGGGGAUGGAAUUCCGCGUGUAGCAGUGAAAUGCGUAGAUAUGCGGAGGAACACCGAUGGCGAAGGCAAUCCCCUGGGCCUGUACUGACGCUCAUGCACGAAAGCGUGGGGGAGCAAACAGGAUUAGAUACCCUGGUAGUCCACGCCUAAACGAUGUCAACUGGUUGUU